UGCGGAGCUUUUCAAAAAUUC
RNAcentral lists this microRNA (21 nucleotides) under Picea abies (Norway spruce). RNAcentral's name for it is "pab-miR11542". The record is from miRBase by way of RNAcentral. Lineage: Eukaryota; Viridiplantae; Streptophyta; Pinopsida; Pinales; Pinaceae.